Molecule: ribosomal RNA, 252 nt
Filed under: uncultured bacterium
Lineage: Bacteria
Description: partial 16S ribosomal RNA
Rfam family: Bacterial small subunit ribosomal RNA
Source: RNAcentral
UACGUAGGGGGCUAGCGUUGUCCGGAAUUACUGGGCGUAAAGGGUGCGUAGGUGGUUUCUUAAGUCAGAGGUGAAAGGCUACGGCUCAACCGUAGUAAGCCUUUGAAACUGGGAAACUUGAGUGCAGGAGAGGAGAGUGGAAUUCCUAGUGUAGCGGUGAAAUGCGUAGAUAUUAGGAGGAACACCAGUUGCGAAGGCGGCUCUCUGGACUGUAACUGACACUGAGGCACGAAAGCGCGGGGAGCAAACAGG